This is a long non-coding RNA of Oxyura jamaicensis (ruddy duck), 3607 nucleotides long. RefSeq lists it as uncharacterized. The transcript has 2 exons. Lineage: Eukaryota; Metazoa; Chordata; Aves; Anseriformes; Anatidae. The record is from RefSeq and is a predicted model, not a curated record.
CUGGGUUUCUUUGUGCCAUCUUAGGGCAGGUGGGUGAGUUAUCAGCUCCUGCAGAUUGCUGGGAGUGGGAACAUAGCCGGUGUUUGGGGGAAGUUAAGUCUGAGCAGGCUUUGUUACAUCUUGGGGACCUGCAGAGAUGGUGGGACCCAACCUACAAGCAAGAAUCUCCUCUGCAGUGAUGUGUGGCUGAAAGGACUGAUGGCUCUAUGAAGCAGCUGAACAGCAAGAACAGCAGAAGAACAAAAGAACAGCAACUGCAGAGAAGUCAGAGUAGUCAUCUCAAUCAACAACCAACCUUUGCCUGUAUUGAAAUGGGAUCUCUUAUGAGAAUGACAUUUUGUGAUUCCCAACUUUCUAUCCACCUACCAUACUUUGAAGCUAACACUUUUGACUUUUCUGGAACCAGGAACACACAGAAGUAUCCCAGUACAGGAGAAGGCUUCUCCAGAACGUGGUUACUGGUCCGUGCCUGGCGGGUAUGAGAAAGUGUCUGGAAAUGGCCUCAGUUCUGGGCCAUCUUCGGGAAUUCCCAAGAGGCUGAGGACAGGGUGCUCCUCCUGUUCACCACACGUGUCAGUCUUAACUCUGCUGGAGGCCAAGCAGUGCAAACAGCAAUUUGCUUUCCUGUGGCUGGUGAACUUCAGUGCCUCCAUGUAAAAUCCAUGCACGUAAUGACUUCAUACGCAUUUCCAGAAGCUAACGCCUGAGAUUUGGCUCAUUAAAAUCCAAAUGGCGCGCUAGUAAAAUGAAGUCUACCGACGUACCAGAUCUGUGUGCUGGAAAGUGGGAUUCAGUCACAUCUCCCAGUUUUUUAUGAGCAAUAAAUACCCAGUAGCUCAGAAGACAAGCUUUCCCACUUUGUGCAGGUUCUGGAGCAAAAACCUUCUCUUGCACUCAAGGACAGCUCUUGCUAAUGCUGAGGACGCUCUUGUGGGCAGCGUUUGGUGCAAGUGGCGUUAGAUGUGCAGCGCUGGCCUGCAGCAGCCCUGGGGUUUGAUGCACCACUCUUCUAUGCUAACUUCCUUAAAAGCAGCUGGGACAAUCCACGUGCAUCGUCUUGCUUGCACGUUUGUGUCCUGAGAGUGCUUCCUGCAGCUCAGCUGAAUGCGCAGAGCCUCUCGGCGGAGAGGGGAGCACCACCAGGGAAUAGCAGGGAACAGCUUUUCUGCGGUGGAGCCGCCAAAGUGGCUUUGUUCUGAGUGCUUUGUUUCAGUGCUCCCUGAAUAGGGAUGAUAUUACUCACAGGCUGAAGAGCUUUGUCAUUUGGAGCGUAAGAUGGUUUAGAAUUGGGCCCGAUUUAUAUGGAAUGAGUUUAUUUCUGCAGUAAUGGCUUCUUCUAGGAUAAGAGUGUUUAUAGCCCUUCCCUUUGGAAUCGUUGUCGCUCCGACUAGGCUGUCUAGACAGCUCGGUUUUCAGGCAUAUUCACCACGCCGUGCCUCUAGAGUGGGUAAUAAUAUGUCAAAGCCAUAAUAUUGCCAGCUAAGGCAGGCUCCGAAGGGGGAAGUGAUUCCGGCUCUUCUCUUGAGAGGGAGAAACAGAAGAAUUCCAGCUCCUGUUACUGCUGUGCAGGAGGGGAAGGUCCAUGGUCUGCUGCUCUUGCGGUCUGCAGAUGGGGCUCUCAGAUCCAUCACCCCCUUAAAUACAUGCUCCUUUCCUCUGGAGCACUGCAGGAAGGAAAAGAGGGAAGCGUUUAGUUGUCUACUUCAAAUAAUACAUUAUUUAGAAUAUGUUUCCUUCUUGAGGAAAUAGCUGGCGAUUAUGCUAUGAGAACAGUUGCCCUCAAGGAAACAGAAUAAGCUUUUCCUACCACUUUUGGAUUCCAGGUUGAACAGAAGCUCUUGACAAGCCUGGCCUUGUUUUAUGCGCCCUUUCCUUCAAGGACACUUAAGAAGCAUGGAGUGAUUUGCUGUGCGUGACCUGGCCGAGCUGAACACUGCUGUGAGGUGGUGGGCAAAGUUUUCCCAUGCCUUUGAGUUCUUGUUUUUACUCUUUUGACAGCUUGGUGAGAAAGAAGAAUAUUGUAGAAGCAUAAUUAUUUCCAAGUAGGUGCCCACUGUGCCCUUCUGCACAGCCUUUGCUAUUUUUGGGAGUGUUCAAAUAACUUUUUAGCUCAUAUUAAAGACAUCUGGAAUUGAAGCACAGAAGACACAGUGCAAAUGGAUUUUGGAAGAAGGCUCCCAUUUUCUAGACUAACAAAAAUUCAUUGCACAGCCCUAUUCACUUAAUCAUGGAUCCAAACUUUUAACACCUGCCUCAGGAUUUCUGCACUUCCCAUGAAAAAGACCAGUUGAACUUAGCAUUUGCAGUCCUGUGACCUGCAAACCCCUUGGGGAGCACAGAAAUGCCCCCAAAGCCUUUGGAUACCAGGAAUGGACUCUUGGCUGAAGAGGAGACUGCAGCUUGGAGUGCACACAGGGGCUGGGUUCCCAGUGCUCCCUCAAUACAUAGCAGGGGAAAAAGUAGGUACCGCUGAGAUAUAUCCCCGUUUUUAGGCACUGGGAAAGUGGAUGGUAAUAUUGGACGUGAUCCAGUGAUCCAUCUAUUCUGGAUCACUGACUCCAGUAUCUCUGCCAAGGAGACUGUGGCACAUAAUCCCUUUCAGAAAAACAUCAGACUGUAGUUUAAGACUCUGCCACUCUUUGCAGAGGCUGUUGCAGCAUCUCUGCUUUGGUGGCUAAAAACUUAAAUUUCCAGAUUAACUAUAUUUACAGGCACUUUCAGACCAUUUGUUCUUUUGCCAAAAUCACUCUGUUUUAAAUGCAUUUUUUUUUUCUAUUAGUAUUAUUUUGAGGUUGCUGAUGCUUUGUUUUUUAAUGAAAAGCAAAAGAAGCACUUGUGGUGGUUUAUAGCUAAAAUGAGGUGGGGGUGAGACUUCAGGGCAUCUCAGUAUUUUGUCAGGAACCAAGUCAGGUAUUCAGCUAAAACGUAGCACUUCCUUUGAUCUGGGACGCGUGGACUUGAGUGGCUGAGGUCCUCUCUGAUGGUCUCUCCUGGCCAGCUCUCCUGUAUGCAAGGCAGAAGCAGAGGGAAUGAGUUGUAGCUGAAUGAUGCAGCCAAAAUCUCUGAGGUUUUGUUAAAUUUCAAGCACUUCUCAAACAAAUAUCUAGUGUUUGAUUUUGGUUACCGGCAGAGAUGAUGCUGUUGCCCAGCCUCUGCCUCUUUAAGGAGUACAUUAACUGAAGGAUAUACAUAAAUCCCUUUUGAACAGAAUCAAACCCACAGUGAUUACACAAACCCAGUCAUCCGCUCCCUCACAUCCCCUGGGAGCACCAGCAUCUGGCGUCAGUGCCUGCUCUGAGCAGAGAUGCUCUCACAGCCUACAAACCGUCGUCCUGUGCUACCUCUCUGAGUAAUACCAGGGCUAAGGAUUGAUCUGGCCCCUCCUUAAUGUUCUCUUAGUGAAAGUAAUUAAAAAUUUCCAAAAGUAAACCAAAUCAAGCCAAUUAAACUGUAAUGUGAUCAAGGCUUGACUGAGAUUUAUCAUCUUUUCUGUGGCUUGAAAUGCUGGCAGCUGGAUGAGUGCAGCAGCAGUGAUGUGUGCACGUGUUAGAUGGGACUUGACUUAAAGCACAGAUCUGUGUGAGCAACCCAAAGCAAAAAAAAAAAA